This 1755-nucleotide long non-coding RNA is filed under the name Homo sapiens (human). RNAcentral's name for it is "CCNY antisense RNA 1, transcript variant 14 (CCNY-AS1)". The record is from RNAcentral. Lineage: Eukaryota; Metazoa; Chordata; Mammalia; Primates; Hominidae.
AAGCAGAUCGGCGGCCGCGGGGAGGUUCGGGGCGGCGCAGCCCCGCGCGGUUGUGGGAUCGCUCCCGGGGGCCGCUCCUCUCUCGGGCACUGGGGUCGCGGGAGACGUCGUCGGGAGCUCGGUUUCUGGAGGCCCUUCCCCACCCGGCCUCUGCCUCCUCCACUCCCCCGGGCUGGACGGAACGGGGCCCAGCGCGGGAUGCGAGAGGUAUGAUUUCGCUCUGUCGCCCAGGCUGGAGGGCAGUGGCGCAAUCUCGGCUCACUGCAGCCUCGAACUCCUAGGCUGAAGCGAUUCUCCCGCCUCAGCCUCCAAAGUAGCCGGUACUACAGGCGCGCGCCACCACGCCUGGCUAAGGGUCUUACUAUGUCACCCAGACUGAAGUGCAGUGGCAUGAUCACAGGUCAUUGCAUCCUCAACCACCCAGACUCAAGCAAUCCUCCUGUCUCAGCCUUCCAAGUAACUGAGACCACAGAAAUAACCAUGGAUAUGGGUAGAGACAGAGCCAUAUGGAAUGCACACUGCAGUGGUGAACACAUGGCCCAGCUCUGCCAUCAAGGAGAAGGAACAUGAAUGGAGCUGGAGGCCAUCAUCCUUAGUGAACUAACACAGGAGCAGAAAACCAAAUACCACAUGUUCUCAUGUGUAAGUGGGAGCUAAAUGAUGAGAACACAUGGACACAAAGAGGGGAACAACAGACACUGAAGCCUCCUUGAGGGAGGAGGGUAAGAGGAAGGAGAAGAUCAGAAAAGAUAACUACCAGGUACUAUGGUAGCUUAGUACCUGGGUGAUGAAAUAAUCUGUACACCCAACCCUCAUGACAGAAGUUUACCUGUGUAACAAACCUGCACAUGUAUCCCUGAAACUAAAAGUUUUUUAAAAAGUUAUUUAAUAUAUAUAUAUUUUUUUGAGACGGAGUUUUGCUCUUGUUGCCCAGGCUGGAGUGCGGUGGCGCAAUUUCGGCUCACCACAACCUCCGCCUCCCAGGUUCAAGCUAUUCCCCUGCCUCAGCCUCCCUAGUAGCUGGGAUUACAGGCUUGUGCCACCACGCCGGCUAAUUUUGUAUUUUUUGUAGAGACGGGGUUUCUCCAUGUUGGUCAGGCUGGUCUCGAACUCCCGACCUCAGGUGAUCCACCCCCCUCGGCCUCCCAAAGUGCUAGGAUUACAGGCAUGAGCCACUGCGCCCGGCAAAAAGUUAUUUAAUAUUAAUGGGACAAUACUCAUUGCAAGAAUCAGACUUCAAUUGCUAGCAUAAGUAAAUGACAGGCAGGAGAUAUUGAAAAUGCAAUCUUAUAGACAUUCAAGGAGAGGACGCAGGACAUUUCUGUGUCAUAAAUGUACUAUGGAAAAUAAAAAUGAGAAAAAUGGAAAUAAAAUACAAGAAAAGGUUAUGAUAAAUUUCAUAUUAUUUUACCACAAUAAAAAAAUUUUAAUAAAUUAUAAAUGGUGUGAUAUGUUUUGCCUGUGUUCCACCCAAAUCUCAUCUUGAAUUAGAGCUCCCACAAUUCCCACGUGUUGUGGCUGGGACCCUGUGGGAGAUAAUUGAAUCAUGGGGGCAGUUUACCCCAUACUGUUCUCUUGGUGGUGAAUAAGUCUCAUGAGAGUUGAUGGUUUGAUAAGGGGUUUCCCCUUUUGCUUGGCUCUCAUUCUCUCUUGACUGCCACCAUGUAAGAUGUGCCUUUUGCCUUCCACCAUGAUUGUGAAGCCUCCCAGCCACAUGGAACUGUGAGUCCAUUAAACCUUUUUCUUUACAAAUUA